This 601-nucleotide long non-coding RNA is filed under the name Physcomitrium patens. RNAcentral describes it as "long non-coding RNA (PPAT_LNC007776)". The record is from RNAcentral. Lineage: Eukaryota; Viridiplantae; Streptophyta; Bryopsida; Funariales; Funariaceae.
UGUCUAUAAGAAUGCCUCUGUGAUGCUCCGCCCUCGACUUGUGGACCUGAUUCAAGCAGCAUCUCUCUUCAAAUCUCCAUCGAACUUGCAGAGGUGUCUAGUGUUUGUACGUUGGUUCCUGUCACUCAACCAAGUGAAUUAAUCCAGGUGCGCUGGUCUCGAAAUCGAGUGGCAUCCCCUAAAUACCUCAAGUUAGCUUGCAGAGAUCUCUUUUGUGUGCACACUGAUUUCUGUCACUUAACUCGGAGAAUUCGUUUUGGUGCGCUGGUGUCAGAAUGCACAGUCGUUACAGUUUUUCAAGGUUGCUGUACAUUUUCAUGACUGAAUAGCUUGAGAGAUUUGUCGCACUUUUCUAUUGAUCACGUGCGGGAGAAGAAUUCCUUCGGUGUCUCCAGAUAAGAUAGCAGGUCCAGUUGUAUCUUGAUAGUGUCCUUCGCCGCUGAUAAUGGUUAUUCUCACAGCUGUGAGUUGGCAGACCUGAGGACAGAGACAGGGAGUAGACAUACCAUUUUUUGGCUCGGCACUCGCUGGAAAGCUUCCAAAACGAUGGAAUCCGGCUCUGUUGCGAACGACUCUGGCCCCUUGAAUUCUACCCCAGACG